CGGUAAAACCACACGAACCCUAUUACAUCACCAAGCCCUCACCGUUUCCAGCACCCAGGGUCUCUACAAAGAGGCAAGCUGGGACUGAAAUCUCUCCCGAGUGUGGAAGACGGACGGGAGCAGCAGCCGGACAGCACAGCUCAAGGCCGAGAGGCUCACUGGGUGACUCGGGCCGCUUUGGGGUGGCUGUGAGAAGCGAAGGGAGGCUGACUCGGGGUGUGGUGGGGAGUGAAGCCACCACCUUAUUGCCUAGGCCUUCCCUUGAUGCACUUGGAAAAUAAGUUGCUCUUUCUUCACCGGGUGGGGACAUUAAUUAAUGUUUGCAAAAGUCUUUAUGAUCCUUGUCAAAAGGUGUUCGGCCGGCUCUAAUUAUCCAGGUUUCAGCUGCCACCGCUUCCAUCUCAGCACAGCAUCUCUGCCCUGGAAGAUGUCAAACAAGAUUGCUGUUGUCAGGAUGUGCAUCCAGCUCAUGUGGAUUUCUAUCUGCAUCUCCAAAUACUGCCCAGAUUCCAAAGCCCUGCAAGGGGAUGGUAUCUUGUUUGGGGAGAUGAGACCUGUGCCCCGCCCAGCUCCACCCCGUAAGAAGGCAGCUGCCUGGGAGGUAUAAUUUGAUAAGUUUCUGGAAGGACUCACACAUCCAAAACCAACUCCCCAUGUCUUCUCAUGGGGGCCGGAAAUUCCUCCACUAAAAAUUCACUCCUUCACGGG
This 708-nucleotide long non-coding RNA is filed under the name Homo sapiens (human). Its description in RNAcentral is "non-protein coding lnc-ASAP2-4:3". The record is from RNAcentral. Lineage: Eukaryota; Metazoa; Chordata; Mammalia; Primates; Hominidae.